Molecule: ribosomal RNA, 434 nt
Filed under: uncultured bacterium
Lineage: Bacteria
Description: partial 16S ribosomal RNA
Rfam family: Bacterial small subunit ribosomal RNA
Source: RNAcentral
AGCGAACGCUGGCGGCAGGCCUAACACAUGCCAGUCGAACGAACCUUUCGGGGUUAGUGGCGGACGGGUGAGUAACACGUGGGAACGUGCCUUUAGGUUCGGAAUAACUCAGGGAAACUUGUGCUAAUACCGAAUGUGCCCUUCGGGGGAAAGAUUAAUCGCCUUUAGAGCGGCCCGCGUCUGAUUAGCUAGUUGGUUGAGGUAAUGGCUCACCAAGGCGACGAUCAGUAGCUGGUCUGAGAGGAUGAUCAGCCACAUUGGGACUGAGACACGGCCCAAACUCCUACGGGAGGCAGCAGUGGGGGAUCUUGAGGAAGGGGCGAAAGACUGACGCAGCCAUGCCGCGUGAAUGAUGAAGGUCUUAGGAUUGUAAAAUUCUUUCACCGGGGACGAUAAUGACGGUACCCGGAGAAGAAGCCCCGGCUAACUUCGUG